GUGCAAGGGACCGCACAAGAAGAGAGAUUGUCCGAGGAGGGCAGUGUUCGUGGCCAAGGAGCGAGAGCCAGAUCAAUCUUCUUCACCACUGGAGCCAGCAAGCGUGGAGAGCUUGCCGUGUUGUUCACUUGGUGCUAUGGGUUUAAUUGGACCGAGUGAAGCUCCUAGCAAGGAUGCAGUGGAUGUGUGUGGGACUCGAGCGGUCCAAGUUGCCGAAGGAGCUGCCACCCGAGGAAGAGGUGGGCUGUGUGAGAGAUUC
This 259-nucleotide unclassified non-coding RNA is filed under the name Hevea brasiliensis (rubber tree). The record is from RNAcentral. Lineage: Eukaryota; Viridiplantae; Streptophyta; Magnoliopsida; Malpighiales; Euphorbiaceae.